GGGGAAGAGGCUGAGAGGAAGAAAUGGGAAGCCAGAGGGAGGGAAACACCGAGGUGGCGGUAAGGGAGAUCUGCCCAUGCUCAGGGGUCACUGGUCGCCACCUUUGUCUCUCGGAGCCAGUGUCCUCACUACACCGCAGGCACACUGGAGCAUGGUGCUCAACCCCGAUGCAGCUGCUCAGCAUGUUCUCAUCCUUCUUCUCCCAUCCUGCUCCCCUCCCCUUCCCCAGGCAGGCAGGGACUCUUGAGAAGUAGAUUCUAGAACUCUAACACAGACUUCUCUGUGGCAGGGACAGGGAAAAAUAGCGAUGAGAUACAGAGUUCCAUCUAGUUAUCACCUCGCCUUGUCCCCAUUUUACAGUUGAGGAAGCUGAGCUUUAAGAUGAUUAAGUGAUAGGCCCAUGUCUUUUGGCUACGCUGGGAUUUGAAUCUAGAGGGGCCUGAAGCCUCAGCCCUAUUUCCUUCCUCUUCUCUGUCCUCUCCAGUCCGGGCCAGCCUCCAAGCCUUUGCUCAUGUCUCUCUGCUCUUCCAGACUGGCCCUCACUCUCCUAACACAGUCUGUGGUGGGUCCCACCUCCUCCCAUCGCCCCACAGACACAUUCAGGACUCCCUUUAGCCACCCAGAAAAAGGUUUCUGCUUUAGGCCCAGGGCCUUAGAGGCACAGGAAACCCAUAAAUACAAACACAUUUGCAUGAAAACCCAGGCAUCUGUGUCUGCAGCUAACAGCUCAGUUAGCUUCCGGGAUAGAGCUUCCAGAAGUGGGAGCAGCGGCCACCAGCGUUCCUGGGACAAAUGUGUCCCGACAGCCAGGUCAAGAGAGACAGAGCAUGAGCGGGAGAGGAGCAAACACAAAAUCCAAAGCAGACUCCAGGCUCCGAGCUGUUAGCACAGAGCCCGAUGCGGGGCUCAAACCCACGAACUGUGAGAUCAUGACCUGAACUAAAGUUGGACGCUUAACAGACUGAGCCACCCAGGCGCCCCUAGCCAAUUAUUUUAAAAUUGGACAAUUUGACAUAAAAACCCAGAUUUCUGGCUUCUUUUGAAAACUGGCAGAGCAAACAGCCUUGGCCCCAUUUCCCGGGAGGUCCACUCUUGGUACUGAAGCCCCUCAGACAGCUCGCCAGAGGCCCCAUAAUUUCCCACUGACGGCCCUGCUGACCUACACACCUGCCCUGUGUUUUCUAGUGCAGAGAAAUAAAUCGGCCCCUCUUUCUAGCAAAA
Long non-coding RNA from Neofelis nebulosa (Clouded leopard), 1221 nucleotides. RefSeq lists it as uncharacterized. Lineage: Eukaryota; Metazoa; Chordata; Mammalia; Carnivora; Felidae. The transcript has 2 exons. The record is from RefSeq and is a predicted model, not a curated record.